UACGUAGGGUGCGAGCGUUGUCCGGAAUUAUUGGGCGUAAAGAGCUCGUAGGCGGUGUGUCACGUCGUUCGUGAAAACCUGCAGCUUAACUGUGGGCGUGCGGUCGAUACGGGCAUCACUGGAGUUCGGCAGGGGAGACUGGAAUUCCUGGUGUAGCGGUGAAAUGCGCAGAUAUCAGGAGGAACACCGGUGGCGAAGGCGGGUCUCUGGGCCGAUACUGACGCUGAGACGCGAAAGCGUGGGGAGCGAACAGG
This 254-nucleotide ribosomal RNA is filed under the name uncultured bacterium. RNAcentral describes it as "partial 16S ribosomal RNA". It matches the Rfam family "Bacterial small subunit ribosomal RNA", at positions 524 to 776 of the family's 1533-position model. The record is from RNAcentral.